RNAcentral lists this ribosomal RNA (312 nucleotides) under Ehrlichia chaffeensis. Its description in RNAcentral is "bacterial SSU rRNA". It matches the Rfam family "Bacterial small subunit ribosomal RNA", at positions 137 to 483 of the family's 1533-position model. Lineage: Bacteria; Pseudomonadati; Pseudomonadota; Alphaproteobacteria; Rickettsiales; Anaplasmataceae. The record is from RNAcentral.
UAUGGAAUAGCCAUUAGAAAUGAUGGGUAAUACUGUAUAAUCCCUGCCGGGGAAAGAUUUAUCGCUAUUAGAUGAGCCUACGUUAGAUUAGCUAGUUGGUAAGGUAAUGGCUUACCAAGGCUAUGAUCUAUAGCUGGUCUGAGAGGACGAUCAGCCACACUGGAACUGAGAUACGGUCCAGACUCCUACGGGAGGCAGCAGUGGGGAAUAUUGGACAAUGGGCGAAAGCCUGAUCCAGCUAUGCCGCGUGAGUGAAGAAGGCCUUCGGGUUGUAAAACUCUUUUAAUAGGGAAGAUAAUGACGGUACCUAUA